GAUGAACGCUGGCGGCGUGCCUAAUACAUGCAAGUCGAGCGAACGGACGAGAAGCUUGCUUCUCUGAUGUUAGCGGCGGACGGGUGAGUAACACGUGGAUAACCUACCUAUAAGACUGGGAUAACUUCGGGAAACCGGAGCUAAUACCGGAUGAUAUUUUGAACCGCAUGGUUCAAAAGUGAAAGACGGUCUUGCUGUCACUUAUAGAUGGAUCCGCGCUGCAUUAGCUAGUUGGGAAGUUAACGGCUUACCAAGGCAACGAUGCAUAGCCGACCUCAGAGGGUGAUAGGCGACCCUGGAACUGAGACACGGUCAAGACUCCUAAGGGAGGCAGCAGUAGGGAAUCUUACGCAAUGGGCGAAAGCCUGACGGAGCAACGGCGCGUGAGUGAUGAAGGUCUUCGGAUCGUAAAACUCUGUUAUUAGGGAAGAACAUAUGUGUAAGUAACUGUGCACAUCUUGACGGUACCUAAUAAGAAAGCAACGGCUAACUACGUG
This 497-nucleotide ribosomal RNA is filed under the name uncultured bacterium. RNAcentral's name for it is "partial 16S ribosomal RNA". It matches the Rfam family "Bacterial small subunit ribosomal RNA", at positions 28 to 507 of the family's 1533-position model. The record is from RNAcentral.